RNAcentral lists this ribosomal RNA (253 nucleotides) under uncultured bacterium. Its description in RNAcentral is "partial 16S ribosomal RNA". It matches the Rfam family "Bacterial small subunit ribosomal RNA", at positions 524 to 776 of the family's 1533-position model. The record is from RNAcentral.
UACGAGGGGGGCAAGCGUUGUUCGGAAUUAUUGGGCGUAAAGGGUGCGUAGGCGGUUUGGUAAGUCUGAUGUGAAAUCUAUGGGCUCAACUCAUAGUCUGCAUCGGAAACUGCCGGGCUUGAGUGUGGGAGAGGUGAGUGGAAUUCCUGGUGUAGCGGUGAAAUGCGUAGAUAUCAGGGGGAACACCUGUGGCGAAAGCGGCUCACUGGACCAUAACUGACGCUGAUGCACGAAAGCUAGGGGAGCAAACAGG